Long non-coding RNA from Spinacia oleracea (spinach), 361 nucleotides. RefSeq lists it as uncharacterized. The transcript has 4 exons. Lineage: Eukaryota; Viridiplantae; Streptophyta; Magnoliopsida; Caryophyllales; Amaranthaceae. The record is from RefSeq and is a predicted model, not a curated record.
GAUUGCUUUGCUCUUCUUGGCGCUAAUGCAUCAGGGUUUCCCCUUCAAGACUUCAUGGGUGAUGAGUUUAUCAAUUUCCCCUCCAAGAAUUUAUGGGUGAUGUAAUUACAAGUGAAGAUGGUCAUGCGCACGCUUUGUGGCAACAUAUGGGAGUUCCAGUAACCACUUCUUAAACCAAAGACCACUUUAGAAGUAAUGUGGAUUGGCCAAACAAUGGAGAUAUACAACUAUCAGUCAAUUCCUCCACAAUGUUCACUCAAUGGGGCUUCAUGGGCUCAUUUCCCAUCUCUAUUUUUCCGGAGUUGAAAAAGUAAGAUCACUCCUCGGUUCAACAUCGAUGCUCCAAGGCAUCCAAAUAAGU